GACGAACGCUGGCGGCGUGCUUAACACAUGCAAGUCGAACGGAAAGGCCCUGCUUUUGUGGGGUGCUCGAGUGGCGAACGGGUGAGUAACACGUGAGUAACCUGCCCUUGACUUUGGGAUAACUUAAGGAAACUGGGGCUAAUACCGUAUAGGAGCUCCUGCUGCAUGGAGGGGGUUGGAAAGUUUCGGCGGUUGGGGAUGGACUGGCGGCUUAUCAGCUUGCUGGUGGGGUAGUGGCUUACCAAGGCUUUGACGGGUAGCCGGCCUGAGAGGGUGACCGGCCACAAUGGGACUGAGAUACGGCCCAGACUCCUACGGGAGGCAGCAGUGGGGAAUAUUGCACAAUGGGCGGAAGCCGGAUGCAGCAGCGCCGCGUGCGGGAUGACGGCCUUCGGGUUGUAAACCGCUUUCGCCUGAGACGAAGCGUGAGUGACGGUAAUGGGUAAAGAAGCACCGGCUAACUACGUG
Molecule: ribosomal RNA, 468 nt
Filed under: uncultured bacterium
Lineage: Bacteria
Description: partial 16S ribosomal RNA
Rfam family: Bacterial small subunit ribosomal RNA
Source: RNAcentral